UUGUUGGUGAGGUAAAGGCUUACCAAGGCUUCAAUCAGUAGCUGGUCUGAGAGGACGACCAGCCACACUGGGACUGAGACACGGCCCAGACUUCUACGGGAGGCAGCAGUGGGGAAUUUUGGACAAUGGGGGAAACCCUGAUCCAGCCAUGCCGCGUGAGUGAAGAAGGCCUUCGGGUUGUAAAGCUCUUUCAGCCGGAACGAAACGGUUACGAUUAAUACCUGUAACUACUGACGGUACCGGAAGAAGAAGCACCGGCUAACUACGUGCCAGCAGCCGCGGUAAUACGUAGGGUGCGAGCGUUAAUCGGAAUUACUGGGCGUAAAGCGUGCGCAGGUGGUUUUGUAAGUCAGAUGUGAAAUCCCCGGGCUUAACCUGGGAACUGCGUUUGAAACUACAAGGCUAGAGUGUGGCAGAGGGGGGUGGAAUUCCGCGUGUAGCAGUGAAAUGCGUAGAGAUGUGGAGGAACACCGAUGGCGAAGGCAGCCCCCUGGGUCAACACUGACGCUCAGGCACGAAAGCAUGGGGAGCAAACAGGAUUAGAUACCCUGGUAGUCCAUGCCCUAAACGAUGUCAACUAGUUGUCGGGUCUUAACGGGCUUGGUAACGUAGCUAACGCGUGAAGUUGACCGCCUGGGGAGUACGAUCGCAAGAUUAAAACUCAAAGGAAUUGACGGGGACCCGCACAAGCGGUGGAUUAUGUGGAUUAAUUCGAUGCAACGCGAAAAACCUUACCUACCCUUGACAUGUAUUGGAGCCCGCAGAGAUGUGGGUGUGCCCGAAAGGGAACGAUAACACAGGUGCUGCAUGGCUGUCGUCAGCUCGUGUCGUGAGAUGUUGGGUUAAGUCCCGCAACGAGCGCAACCCUUGUCAUUAAUUGCCAUCAUUUAGUUGGGCACUUUAAUGAGACCGCCGG
This 916-nucleotide ribosomal RNA is filed under the name uncultured bacterium. Its description in RNAcentral is "bacterial SSU rRNA". It matches the Rfam family "Bacterial small subunit ribosomal RNA", at positions 246 to 1155 of the family's 1533-position model. The record is from RNAcentral.